UAACAAGGAUUCCCCUAGUAACUGCGAGUGAAACGGGAAGAGCUCAAAUUUUGAAUCUGGCGGUCUUUCGGCCGUCCGAGUUGUAAUCUAGAGAAGCGUUUUCCGCGCUGGACCGUGUACAAGUCUCCUGGAAGGGAGCGUCAUAGAGGGUGAGAAUCCCGUCUCUGACACGGACUACCAGUGCUAUGUGAUGCGCUCUCGACGAGUCGAGUUGUUUGGGAAUGCAGCUCAAAUCGGGUGGUAAACUCCAUCUAAAGCUAAAUACAGGCGAGAGACCGAUAGCGAACAAGUACCGUGAGGGAAAGAUGAAAAGAACUUUGGAAAGAGAGUUAAACAGUACGUGAAAUUGCUGAAAGGGAAACGCUUGAUGUCAGUCGCGUCGGCCGGGGAUCAACCUUGCUUUUCGCUGGGCGUAUUUCCUGGUCGACGGGUCAGCAUCAGUUUCGGUCGUCGUACAAGGGCGGAGGGAACGUGGCACUCUUCGGGGUGUGUUAUAGCCUUUCGUCGUAUGCGAGGGUCGGGACUGAAGAACUCAGCACCGCUCGCGGUCUGUGCUCAGGAUGCUGGCAUAAUGGCCUUAAGCGACCCGUCUUGAAACACGGACCAAGGAGUCUAACAUGCCUGCGAGUGUUUGGGUGGCAAACCCGAGCGCGAAACGAAAGUGAAAGUUGAGACCUCUGUCGUGGAGGGCAUCGACGCCCGGACCUGAGUCUUUGACGAAGGAUCUGCGGUAGAGCAUGUAUGUUGGGACCCGAAAGAUGGUGAACUAUGCCUGAAUAGGGUGAAGCCAGAGGAAACUCUGGUGGAGGCUCGUAGCGAUUCUGACGUGCAAAUCGAUCGUCGAAUUUGGGUAAUAGGGGCGAAAGACUAUCGAACCAU
RNAcentral lists this ribosomal RNA (879 nucleotides) under Chalciporus amarellus. RNAcentral's name for it is "eukaryotic LSU rRNA". It matches the Rfam family "Eukaryotic large subunit ribosomal RNA", at positions 66 to 943 of the family's 3401-position model. Lineage: Eukaryota; Fungi; Basidiomycota; Agaricomycetes; Boletales; Boletaceae. The record is from RNAcentral.